RNAcentral lists this unclassified non-coding RNA (336 nucleotides) under soil metagenome. Its description in RNAcentral is "partial contains 5.8S ribosomal RNA, internal transcribed spacer 2, and large subunit ribosomal RNA". The stretch from base 1 to 120 matches the Rfam family "5.8S ribosomal RNA", at positions 35 to 154 of the family's 154-position model. The record is from RNAcentral.
GAUGAAGAACGUAGCGAAAUGCGAUAAGUAAUGCGAAUUGCAGAAUUCCGUGAGUCAUCGAAUCUUUGAACGCACAUUGCGCCCGCCAGUAUUCUGGCGGGCAUGCCUGUUCGAGCGUCAUUUCAACCAUCAAGCCCCCGGCUUGUGUUGGGGACCUGCGGCUGCCGCAGGCCCUGAAAAGCAGUGGCGGGCUCGCUGUCACACCGAGCGUAGUAGAUUUCAUCUCGCUCAGGGCGUGCUGCGGGUUCCGGCCGUUAAACCACCUUCAUAACCCAAGGUUGACCUCGGAUCAGGUAGGAAGACCCGCUGAACUUAAGCAUAUCAAUAAGCGGAGGA